RNAcentral lists this ribosomal RNA (115 nucleotides) under Xanthobacteraceae bacterium. Lineage: Bacteria; Pseudomonadati; Pseudomonadota; Alphaproteobacteria; Hyphomicrobiales; Xanthobacteraceae. The record is from RNAcentral.
CCUGGUGGUCAUAGCGAGGAGCCUAUACCCGAUCCCAUCCCGAACUCGGCCGUCAAAGUCCUCUGCGCCGAUGGUACUAAACCUCAAGGUUUGGAAGAGUAGGUCGCUGCCAGGC